RNAcentral lists this long non-coding RNA (894 nucleotides) under Oryctolagus cuniculus (rabbit). RNAcentral describes it as "lncRNA (ENSOCUG00000033637.1)". Lineage: Eukaryota; Metazoa; Chordata; Mammalia; Lagomorpha; Leporidae. The record is from RNAcentral.
AUGAAAAUCCAGCUUGGGCCGGUGCCAGAGGGCUCGCUUUCCAGCACACCCACCUGGGUCUCCGACAUAAAAGAGGUCAGGAAAGCCAGAUGCCUUCCUCAUUUGGUGGAGAAAGGGGCUCAUGGCAGCGUAGGCGGCAGGUGCUUCAAAACAUCAGGGAAUAACUGCGAGGGCAGGCUGCCCUGCCAAAGGUGGACUCUCCAGCUUUACGGCUUCCCAGACCUCACCUGCCUACUCCCAACUGGGAGUAGCGGCCUGACAGAGGAGGUGUCCAGAAAUGGUUCUUACCGGGGCUGCCAGAUGCUUCCGAGCGACGAUUACACCCGGAGUCAACAAGAACUCACCGGCCAGCCCCCUCCCACAUGGACCAACUGCAAUCCGCAAGGUGACGUCACAAAGGCUGCAGGGUCAGCGUCUUACAAAUCAAGUGUUCCUGAGCCCAAGGCAAUGCAAAAUCCAGAGGCACGAAGUCCAGAGAAGAGAGGAUGCUACUGCCCAGUCCCCUUCUACUCCUGCCGUCCUCAUGAUCACAACCUGGCUGCUAUGCUUAGGCACCCUCGAUGUAUUCCAGGAAGGGAAGGAAGGAAGCUCCACCCAAUACACUCAUGCUUCCAGCUAACUGACCACAAGCAGAUACCUGGCAAACCAGCACAGAGCGAAGCUGCAAACUGCAUUCACCCAGUGGACCAGAGACAGAAUGGUUUGGAAGGAGGAACGGCAAAUGUUACCGGAAAGAACAAAGGUCAGGCCAGUUGCUGCUUGAAAACCAGUCCUCCAGAGCCAAGCGUUGAUGCAGGGAGGUCGGGCUCAUCUAGAAGUCAGCCGCUUGAAGGGGGCGCAGGCUUUCAGCACAAACACCUGCCCAGAUGCUCAAGCUCACAGGAUUUUUUUUAA